RNAcentral lists this transfer-messenger RNA (399 nucleotides) under Bacteroidales bacterium. It matches the Rfam family "transfer-messenger RNA". Rfam says of the family: Bacterial tmRNA, also known as 10Sa RNA or SsrA, is named for its dual tRNA and mRNA-like properties. Its role is to liberate the mRNA from a stalled ribosome. The record is from RNAcentral. Lineage: Bacteria; Pseudomonadati; Bacteroidota; Bacteroidia; Bacteroidales.
GGGGGUGUUUUGGUUUUGACAGCGUUGAUGUCGGACGGUAAGCACGCCGGGCGUUGGAACCUUGCCCGUAAAUCUCAGAUUCCAAAAAAUCAGUUGCCAACAACAACUACGCACUCGCUGCCUAAUUUGGCCAAGCCAAUUAGCUUAAUCCGCGACGCCUAGGCUGCGCCGCCGACGAGUAUCCCUCGGACGUUCCGCCCGGUAUCGGCCGACCCAGGGGUAUCAUUCCGACCGGGACGCUCCGGUGGACGCCUUUAAAACCGGCUAAGAUGCAAAGGCUAAGGCCGUCUUCGCCCGCCAUCCGGCAGGGGCGGCACGAAAACCAAAGGACGGAUAAGCGUGUAGAAAGCCGCCUGGUGCGGCGUUUGGACAGCGGUUCGAGUCCGCUCACCUCCACAA